GGCCCGCUUUGACGAAGACCUUGCCAAGACUCCGGGUCCUGCGGCGUUGCCCAAAGUCGCUGUGGAUGCCUACAAGACCAGGGCGCCCGCGUACACCAUGGCGGCCCGACCAAAACCUGCAGAGGGCAAAGCAGCGAAGCCCGGGCCGGCAGACUACAGCGUAGGCCGGGUGACACUGAUCAAGCCCCAGGCGCCUGCAUCCACUUUUGGAAUCCGGCA
Meleagris gallopavo (turkey) is the source of this 219-nucleotide non-coding RNA. The record is from RefSeq and is a predicted model, not a curated record. Lineage: Eukaryota; Metazoa; Chordata; Aves; Galliformes; Phasianidae.